UUUGGUUGCGAAUUUUGUUUGCAGAUGAUAAUGGAAGCACUUAUGGCGCUGAACGAGAAGAGCGGGUCGAGUCCGUACGCCAUAGCAAAGCACAUGGAGGAGAAGCACAAGGCGGUGCUCCCGGCGAACUUCAGGAAGACUCUGGCACUGCAGCUGAAGAACUCGGCGGCGAGAGGAAAGUUGAUCAAGAUCAGAGCCUCGUACAAGCUCUCCGAGGCGGGCAAGAAGGAGAAAUCGACAGCCAAAACAAGCGCCGUUUCGAAACCAAAAGCGGAGAAGAAGACCAAAACGACCUCCUCUGCUAAGAAGCCCGGGAAAAAGAACAAGAUGUCAACCGCCGCGAAGCCCAAGCAGCCCAAGUCGAUCAAGAGCUCUGCUGCUAAGAAAUCGAAGAAGUCUGCUGCUUGAAAUAUGUGAAGACGAAGAAAGAUGUAUAAAAAGUAGGGCAGAAUAAUAAGUUGGAGAAAGUUGUGUUUGUCGGUGCUCUGUUUUUGUAUGUGAAUAUAUGGAAUCUUUUGGUGUAUGGAGGAGAUGGCCGUAAACUUUGGAAAAAUGGGGUCUUUUUGUAAUCUGCAAGUUUUCUUGGAAUGAAAGAACUAACUUGUGCUAAUUGCUGAGUUUUGCUUUGCAUCCCCUCUUUCAUUGGGGGAGCCAGAAAUUAUUUCAAUGGUAAUAACUAUGAAGAAAGGGUGUAUGAUAAUACAAACCCCUUUAAAAAAACAAUCUCACCCUAAUAAGUAACAUAUAAACAAACAAAAAAAA
Molecule: long non-coding RNA, 762 nt
Filed under: Malus domestica (apple)
Lineage: Eukaryota; Viridiplantae; Streptophyta; Magnoliopsida; Rosales; Rosaceae
Description: long non-coding RNA (MDOM_LNC014836)
Source: RNAcentral